This 520-nucleotide long non-coding RNA is filed under the name Glycine max (soybean). Its description in RNAcentral is "long non-coding RNA (GMAX_LNC003327)". The record is from RNAcentral. Lineage: Eukaryota; Viridiplantae; Streptophyta; Magnoliopsida; Fabales; Fabaceae.
UCCCUUCAACCUUUUUUUAAUCAUUAAAUUAUAAUUUCAUUUAGAGUUUAUUAUCGGGUGCAAAAUGAAUUGUGCACACUUUUCCAUUCUACAUAUAUACAGGCUUUCCGAUAACUUUUCACAUCCAAAGUUAGGCAUUCUAAUUUCUUCUAAAAGGCUUGGACUAAAUUCUUCCUAGUUAUUAUUAUACCAACAGCUUUCGGCAACUUCCUAGUUAGUAUACACACACUUUACUGGUGUACAUAUGAAGACAUAAGGAGUUAGAGAAGACCUUCAAAGCUGGCAUGGCUACGAGAUGGAAACAAAGUCAUCAUCUCAUGCAUGUAGCUUUUGUUGUUGAGGGCUACCGCAAGCAUAUUUCAAUAGUCACCUCUUGUUACUUGCUAAUUACUAAUUGCUAUCCAAACACAUGCAAACCCAAUAAGUGUUUGGGUUAUGCAUGAAAGUGCAUUCAGUGAACAAAAACUUGAUGGAGUCAGACAGAGGUAGAAGACAAAAGGGUAUACAUAUAGGUCCUGAG